Long non-coding RNA from Halichondria panicea, 707 nucleotides. RefSeq lists it as uncharacterized. The transcript is spliced from 5 exons. The record is from RefSeq and is a predicted model, not a curated record. NCBI's taxonomy places the organism in Eukaryota, Metazoa, Porifera, Demospongiae, Suberitida, Halichondriidae.
AUAAUUAUAUACAAUCAAUAUUUUUAACAAUCCAUUUAUAAUAGCAUGAGUGAUGUGAAAUUAUAUACAAUCAUGAACAUUGUAAGGAAAUGUACAAGUUUGCAUAGAACCAUAGAUAUUAGAGGACCUAGAAACUAAAAUGAAAUUGUGGGCGUGGCUAUGCUAAGUCCAAGAUUGCGCAUGCUCAGUAGAUCUAGAGCUGUGAAACCAUGUGCUCCAAGAAAAGAGAACACCCUUACCAUAUGCUGGACAUUUGCUGCUAUAAAUCUGACUGUGAUGAUACUUCUGUGAGAGGUAUGACUGUGACUACACCAAGUGGAUGAUGAUACUUCUAGUUCUGUGAGAGGUAUGACUGUGACUACACCAAGUGGAUGAUGUGAGAGAAAUUCCUUAAACUGGCAAGCUUGACAUGCGAGAACAAACGAAACAAACAGACGAAUGGAUAGAAGUGGCGUCAUUGUUGGAUAUCCUCUCGGUGAUUGAUAAUACACGGUGGACUCUGCGUGGUCAAGAGUGAUCAGUCUGCUAUACUUGUGAGUCCAGUAUGUUACACCAAGAAGAACUAUUCCUUGGGCUAAUUAAUUUAAAACUGUCCUUCUAAUUUAACAUUGUAUACCAUUGUCUCACUCAGUUGUCACGAACGUUUCCUAUCACUAUUUUUGUAUUAACAUAUUAUUUAUUGAAUUGAAUAAUAAUUGUUAUACCGA